RNAcentral lists this ribosomal RNA (250 nucleotides) under uncultured archaeon. Its description in RNAcentral is "partial 16S ribosomal RNA". It matches the Rfam family "Archaeal small subunit ribosomal RNA", at positions 474 to 723 of the family's 1478-position model. The record is from RNAcentral.
UACCCGCGGUCCAAGUCGCAGCCAUCAUUAUUGGGUCUAAAACAUCCGUAGCUUGCUUGAUAAGUUUCUUGUGAAAUUCCAUGUCUCAAAUAUGGAGCGCGCAAGAAGUACUGUUAAGCUAGAGACUGGAAGACGUAAGAAGUAUGUUUGGAGUAGCGGUAAAAUGUGUUAAUCCCAAGCAGACUAACAACAGCGAAGGCAUCUUACGAGGACAGUUCUGACAGUAAGGGAUGAAGGCUAGGGGCGCGAA